Molecule: ribosomal RNA, 644 nt
Filed under: fungal endophyte
Lineage: Eukaryota; Fungi
Description: eukaryotic LSU rRNA
Rfam family: 5.8S ribosomal RNA (bases 181-334)
Source: RNAcentral
AUUAAAGAGUUCUAUAACUCCCAAACCCAUGUGAACAUACCUAACGUUGCCUCGGCAGGUCGCACCUACCUUGUAGCACCCUACCCUGUAGGGCCUACCCGGGAGAUGCGGGUAAGCCUGCCGGCGGCCCACCAAACUCUGUUUGAUAUUGAAUUCUGAACAUAUAACUAAAUAAGUUAAAACUUUCAACAACGGAUCUCUUGGUUCUGGCAUCGAUGAAGAACGCAGCGAAAUGCGAUAAGUAAUGUGAAUUGCAGAAUUCAGUGAAUCAUCGAAUCUUUGAACGCAUAUUGCGCCCAUUAGUAUUCUAGUGGGCAGGACCGUUCGAGCGUCAUUUCGACCCUUAAGCCUUAGUUGCUUAGUGUUGGGAGCCUACGGCAACGUAGCUCCUCAAAGUUAGUGGCGGAGUUGGUUCACACUCUAGACGUAGUAAUUUUUUAUCUCGCCUAUUAGUUGGACUGAUCCCCUGCCGUAAAACCCCCAACUUAUCAAGGUUGACCUCGAAUCGGUUCAGACAAACUCGCUAAAUUGAAGCAUCUUAGUCAGCGAAGGAAAAGAAACCAACAGGGAUUGCCCUAGUAACGGCGAGUGAAGCGGCAACAGCUCAAAUUUGAAAUCUGGCCCUCGGGUCCGAGUUGUAAUUU